AUCAGGCUAGUUUCUACACUCACUCGCACACCUCUCUCUAUCCUCUGUCCAGGCAAGCAAGAAGCACUAUCAGAGUUCAGGGACACAAGGGCAAAAAUAUUUGGGGUACAAAGCAAGGACAGUGAGCUAUAGAAAUACAGAAUAACAUACACCAUAAAUACAACAGAGGAGCAUUAAAAGUGGCUAGAUGAAAUCAAUGUUCUGGAAAUGCUUGCUGAAAUAAAAAUGUUUUUGCAGCAUGCGAAAAACCAUGCAGUGUCAGCAUCUGCCUCACCUUCACUGGUGACUUUGCUCGGUGACUUCGUUGAACGAUACCUUCGAAAUAUAAAGAGAUUUGAUUUCUGGGACAUGAGCCACUACCCAAAAUCUCAGGGCUCUGCUCAGCCUAAAAGGGGGUAAGGUGCUCUUUAAGGUCCUCUGACUCAAGUCAUUUAUGGCUUUGUACACCAGUUGUGAAACUUUGAACCUGGACAGGUACUAUAUAGGCAGCCAGUACAGUUCCUGCAGCACAGGUAUUACAUGCUGUUGGAAAGUUACUCCCACAGGUAUUAAAUGCUGUUGGAAAGUUACUUGCCAUGCUGAGAAUUCUGGACCAGGCCUAAGGGAAGCCCCACAUAAAGCACAUUGCAGUAAUCAAGUCUUGAAACUACCAACACAUGGACUACUGUGCAUAAGUGAUCACAGUCCAGGAUACCUUAUGUUUUAAGUGCCAAAGAAAAGGUCUUCUUCUCCUGCUUCCCCCAAAGCAAGCUGGCUUUGACUGGCAAUAUACCUGACAUUUUUUAAUCUGUGUCGUUCUUGCUCAGAUUCAGUGCUCAUGGCUUUUUUGUUUUUUCUUCCUUUGCUGUAAAACUCUUGCAGAAGUCUUUAAUAAUCAGGGAGCUGGAUGAAGGCGCCUGCAUUUAGAAUUGAUAUUUUGCUUUGGGGGGGGUAUGUUUUUUAAAACAACAACAAAACAUUAUUUGUUGUGAAAUUUGAACUUCCAGAUGGGAAUAAGGCACCCUACUAUAUACCAGAAGCGCCAAUGUGAACAUGGUAAUGUCUCUCUUGCUUGAUCAUGUUUUCCUUCGUUGCUGUUCGUUGCAGUGUGCUAGGAUUAAAGAGGAAAUGAAGCGUGAAUUCAGAGAGAGAGAAGUAAAUGCUUAUCAGAAUCAAAUCAGCGAGCUGGAGCUACAGGUGAAGAGAUACAAAGAAGACAUAAAUAAGUUCCGCACGGAGCACGGAAUGUUAACCAACAAACUUGCUGAAAAAACAAAGUUUGGUCUGACUUGUAGGUCUUGCAUUCCUUAUGAGAAGCAAAACAGAUGCAGUAAGCCUGAAGUCUGCCCUCCCUCUGGCCCCCACCCUAUU
Molecule: non-coding RNA, 1350 nt
Organism: Podarcis muralis (Common wall lizard)
Lineage: Eukaryota; Metazoa; Chordata; Lepidosauria; Squamata; Lacertidae
Source: RefSeq, a predicted model, not a curated record